UAGAGUUUGAUCCUGGCUCAGGACGAACGCUGGCGGCGUGCCUAAUACAUGCAAGUCGAACGCUGCUUAAGAAGAAACUUCGGUUUUUUCUUAAGCGGAGUGGCGGACGGGUGAGUAACACGUGGGGAACCUAUCCAUCAGCGGGGGAUAACACUUGGAAACAGGUGCUAAUACCGCAUAUGGCUUUUUUUCACCUGAAAGAAAGCUCAAAGGCGCUUUACAGCGUCACUGAUGGCUGGUCCCGCGGUGCAUUAGCCAGUUGGUGAGGUAACGGCUCACCAAAGCAACGAUGCAUAGCCGACCUGAGAGGGUGAUCGGCCACACUGGGACUGAGACACGGCCCAGACUCCUACGGGAGGCAGCAGUAGGGAAUCUUCGGCAAUGGACGCAAGUCUGACCGAGCAACGCCGCGUGAGUGAAGAAGGUUUUCGGAUCGUAAAGCUCUGUUGUCAGCAAAGAACAGGAGAAAGAGG
This 473-nucleotide ribosomal RNA is filed under the name Tetragenococcus halophilus. RNAcentral describes it as "bacterial SSU rRNA". It matches the Rfam family "Bacterial small subunit ribosomal RNA", at positions 1 to 462 of the family's 1533-position model. Lineage: Bacteria; Bacillati; Bacillota; Bacilli; Lactobacillales; Enterococcaceae. The record is from RNAcentral.